ACCCUUUAGUAGCUCAUGAGCAAGAUGACCGGAUGUUCAAGCCUGUGUGAGAGAUGUGCCACCCUGGAACCUUGUGAUAACAUUGGCACAUUACCUGUCUGACC
Small nucleolar RNA from Callithrix jacchus (white-tufted-ear marmoset), 104 nucleotides. NCBI's taxonomy places the organism in Eukaryota, Metazoa, Chordata, Mammalia, Primates, Cebidae. The record is from Ensembl.